Long non-coding RNA from Sinocyclocheilus grahami, 257 nucleotides. RefSeq lists it as uncharacterized. The record is from RefSeq and is a predicted model, not a curated record. NCBI's taxonomy places the organism in Eukaryota, Metazoa, Chordata, Actinopteri, Cypriniformes, Cyprinidae. The transcript has 3 exons.
UGUUGUCUCCUUUUUAAUGUAGAUUUAUAUGUUUAUUACCACAGCGUCUGCUUUGUAUUCUGUCCAAAAAAUACAAUUUCAAAUGUCAAUACAUCCAGCUGGAACAAAGCAUAUGCUUUUCUUACAAAAAAACAAACAAACAGAUAAAUCAACAUUAAAAAGGACACAAGAUGCUGGGAGGGGGGAAAAUAAAUUCUUAAGCCUCAUAUACAAAGGCCAAGGAAGUCUGAUGUCUACCAGUCCAAAGAUAACUGAAA